CUUGUAAAACUUUGCAGGGAAGCAAAGACAAUUCAUGAAUGAGUUUGAAUUUCGAAUCUGUGGCUCUGGUCAGCUGGGGCUAAAAUAUCAGCUGUGAUGAACAAGAGGCCAGAAACAUUAAAGUGAACUUUUGUUUUGCCGGGACAAUCCAUGUUGGUCAUCUAAAGCCGGAGCUUAGAAGUCAGCUGCAGCUAAGAAGAGACCAGCAUCAUCGAGGAACAGGACAGUACAUGGGAAAUGGGGACCAGAGGGAGCCAAGGCUGCUCACUGUGCUGGCAGCUGAAGAUGGUAAUGCAUAAGAGCCACCCAGGCUGUGCUGGUUUUGAGGUCAUGGGUGAGUCUUGGAGAGCAGCUGAGGUUUGGCACUGUACAGCAGGGCCAGAGUUUCUGAGGAGAAGCCUCUGGUGAAGGUGCAGCCUCACCUCCAGUAGAGACUCCAGCAUGUUGACGCUAUCAGUAGCAUGAUAGCACUGUCAAGGACAGCAGCAGCUGUGGCGUGGAAUCCACCUGAGCCUAUGCCACAGGCUGUAUGUGUUGUGGAUCGCUGAACAAGAGAAGUGGGCAGCUCAGGCUCUUUGGAGACCAGAAGAUUAUGAGAGUCCACAGUUGAGAGACUUUGAACUUCUAAAGAUGUUUAGGGAAGAGCACACUGGCUGUCCAGUGCCACAGGACCAACCCUGAAAACAUACAUACAAGUAGCACUACAGACUGAACAGAAAUAAUGGAAGGCCAGAUAGGUGAUACUUUUGUUCAUAUACAGCUCAGAAUCCUGUGACUUCUCUCUGUGGG
This is a long non-coding RNA of Chionomys nivalis (European snow vole), 789 nucleotides long. RefSeq lists it as uncharacterized. The record is from RefSeq and is a predicted model, not a curated record. The transcript is spliced from 3 exons. NCBI's taxonomy places the organism in Eukaryota, Metazoa, Chordata, Mammalia, Rodentia, Cricetidae.